AGAGAGAGAGAGAGAGAGAGAGAGAGAGAGAGACAUACACAACGAGCCUAGGCCGGCAAAACAGACUGAGACGUUACAACUCCACAACCACGUCUUCGGCCGCGACCACAGGAAAUGAGAAGCGGGACGACAGAAUUGCAAGGCUGCCACAUGCAGGUGGAAGGACAGCUAUAUUCACUCGGGAGCAAGAGGCCGUUAUAGUUGGCAUGGUCCUUCAAGAUAAUGCAAUACAACUCAGGAACGAGUGAUACAAGACAACACACACUUCCAGGGAAUCGACAGUGUGAGCAUUUCCACCAUUGACCGUGUCCUCCAUCGUAACAGGAUGCGAAGGAAACAAGUAUACAGAGUACCUUUUGAGCACAACUCACCAAGGGUGAAAGAACUGCGAGCUCAGUAUGUGCAAACAAUAUUUGACUUGGAAUCCUUGGACAGACCCCAUGAGUUCAUCUUUGUCGGUGAAGCAGGCUUCAAUCUAACAAAGAGGAGAAGGAGAGGCUAAAACAUGAUUGGACAGCGGGCCAUUGUUGAAGUCCCUGGUCAACGAGGUGGCAAUGUCACAAUCUGUGCUGCUAUCAGCAACUAUGGUGUUCUACAUCACCAUGUUACACUCGGGCCAUAUAACACCCAGCACCUUCUAAGAUUUAUUGCCAAUCUAAGAGAUAUUUUAUUUGAGCAGCAGGUUCAAAAGCAGCAGGGUCAAGAGCUAAAUGAGAAUCCCAUUCCCACCUAUGUGAUAGUGUGGGACAAUGUCAGGUUCCACCGAGCAGCUCAGGUAAGGGAAUGGUUUAACAUUAAUGGGCAGUUUAUGAACUUGUACCUCCCUCCGUACUCGCCUUUCCUGAAUCCGAUUGAGGAGUUUUUCUCCUCUUGGAGAUGUAAAGUGUAUGAUAGACAACCCUACACCAGAGUAAAUCUGCUGCAAGCCAUGGAUUUAGCCUGUGGUGAUAUAGGUGAGGAAUCAUGUCAGGGCUGGAUACGGCACACAAGAGGCUUCUUCCCCCGUUGCCUCAGGAGGGACAAUAUCGCUUGUGAUGUCGACAAAGUGCUCUGGCCUGACCCAGCCCAAAGACAAGAAGAAGCACAUU
Molecule: long non-coding RNA, 1088 nt
Organism: Oncorhynchus gorbuscha (pink salmon)
Lineage: Eukaryota; Metazoa; Chordata; Actinopteri; Salmoniformes; Salmonidae
Exons: 3
Source: RefSeq, a predicted model, not a curated record